Molecule: ribosomal RNA, 223 nt
Filed under: Hypoponera foreli
Lineage: Eukaryota; Metazoa; Arthropoda; Insecta; Hymenoptera; Formicidae
Description: partial large subunit ribosomal RNA
Source: RNAcentral
GAAUUUUAUAUUUUAAUAUGUAAUAAUAUAUAAUUAAAAUAUUUUAUUGGGAGGAUAUUUAAAUUUAAUAAACUUUAAUUAUUAAUAACAUGGAUGAAUGAAAAUUUUAAAAAAUAAUUAAUAUUUAAGAAUAAAUGAAUAAUUAUGAAUUAUUAAAGAAUUAAUUACCUUAGGGAUAACAGCAUAAUAUUUUUUUGUAGUUCAUAUAUAAAAAAAUGCUUGU